AGAACGAACGCUGGCGGCAUGCCUAACACAUGCAAGUCGAACGAGACCUUCGGGUCUAGUGGCGCACGGGUGCGUAACGCGUGGGAAUCUGCCCUUGGGUUCGGAAUAACAGCGAGAAAUUGCUGCUAAUACCGGAUGAUGACGUAAGUCCAAAGAUUUAUCGCCCAAGGAUGAGCCCGUGUAGGAUUAGCUUGUUGGUGAGGUAAGAGCUCACCAAGGCGACGAUCCUUAGCUGGUCUGAGAGGAUGAUCAGCCACACUGGGACUGAGACACGGCCCAGACUCCUACGGGAGGCAGCAGUGGGGAAUAUUGGACAAUGGGCGAAAGCCUGAUCCAGCAAUGCCGCGUGAGUGAUGAAGGCCUUAGGGUUGUAAAGCUCUUUACCCGGAUGAUAAUGACAGUACCGGAGAAUAAGCUCGGCUAACUCCGUGCCAGCAGCCG
Molecule: ribosomal RNA, 441 nt
Filed under: uncultured soil bacterium
Lineage: Bacteria
Description: bacterial SSU rRNA
Rfam family: Bacterial small subunit ribosomal RNA
Source: RNAcentral